Molecule: ribosomal RNA, 306 nt
Filed under: soil fungal sp. DM110
Lineage: Eukaryota; Fungi
Description: partial 28S rRNA
Rfam family: Eukaryotic large subunit ribosomal RNA
Source: RNAcentral
AAUUUGUAGAGGAUGCUUUUGGCAAGGUGCCUUCCGAGUUCCCUGGAACGGGACGCCAUANAGGGUGAGAGCCCCGUCUGGUCGGACACCGAGCCUCUGUAAAGCUCCUUCGACGAGUCGAGUACCUUGGGAAUGCUGCUCAAAAUGGGAGGUAUAUGUCUUCUAAANNNAAAUAUAGGCCAGAGACCGAUAGCGCACAAGUAGAGUGAUCGAAAGAUGAAAAGCACUUUGAAAAGAGGGUUAAAAAUUUNUGAAAUUGUUGAAAGGNAAGCNCCUAUGACCAAACUUGAUCCCGGAGAAUCAUCC